This 68-nucleotide transfer RNA is filed under the name Aseraggodes kaianus (Kai sole). Its description in RNAcentral is "tRNA-Phe". It matches the Rfam family "tRNA". From Rfam's summary of the family: Transfer RNA (tRNA) molecules are approximately 80 nucleotides in length. The record is from RNAcentral. Lineage: Eukaryota; Metazoa; Chordata; Actinopteri; Pleuronectiformes; Soleidae.
GCUCGCGUAGCAUAAAUAAAGCAUGACACUGAAGAUGUUAAGAUGGACCCUAGAAAGUUCCGCAGGCA